This 253-nucleotide ribosomal RNA is filed under the name uncultured bacterium. RNAcentral's name for it is "partial 16S ribosomal RNA". It matches the Rfam family "Bacterial small subunit ribosomal RNA", at positions 524 to 776 of the family's 1533-position model. The record is from RNAcentral.
UACGUAGGGUGCGAGCGUUGUCCGGAAUUAUUGGGCGUAAAGAGCUUGUAGGCGGUCUGUCGCGUCUGCUGUGAAAAUCCGGGGCUCAACCCCGGACUUGCAGUGGGUACGGGCAGACUAGAGUGUGGUAGGGGAGACUGGAAUUCCUGGUGUAGCGGUGAAAUGCGCAGAUAUCAGGAGGAACACCGAUGGCGAAGGCAGCACUCUGGGCCGGUACUGACGCUGAGGAGCGAAAGCAUGGGGAGCGAACAGG